AUGGAGUAUGACAAGCGAUACACGGAGUAUAUCCGGAAGAGCGGGCUUCUCCCUUUCAUCUCACUCGUGUCUUGCUCUAUGCCGAAGAUGAACCCUUGUGUGAUCAUGGCACUCAUUGAUCAAUGGCUCCCAGAGACACAUACUUUUCACUUCUAUGCUGGGGAGAUGACAGUCACUUUGCAGGAAGUGUCUCUGAUCACUGGACUUCCCAUCAAAGGACAUCCUAUUUGUUUUAGCACAGAUUCUGAUGGAUGGCAUGAGAUUAUGGAUGGACUCAUAGGGAGGGAGCCAGGGGUACAAGGGAAGUCCACUGGUGCAAGUUAUCAUUGGAUUACUGAACACUUUGGGGAAUGGCCGGCUGAUGCGGACGAUGAAACAGUGCAACAGUAUACCAGGGCAUACUUGUGGUAUGUAGUCACUUGGACUCUUUUCUUUAACAGACUGGUGUGA
This 450-nucleotide ribosomal RNA is filed under the name Triticum aestivum (bread wheat). RNAcentral's name for it is "partial small subunit ribosomal RNA". Lineage: Eukaryota; Viridiplantae; Streptophyta; Magnoliopsida; Poales; Poaceae. The record is from RNAcentral.